UUUCCUCAUAUUCAUUCAGGA
This 21-nucleotide microRNA is filed under the name Homo sapiens (human). RNAcentral's name for it is "hsa-miR-670-3p". Its record names the gene hsa-miR-670-3p. The record is from miRBase by way of RNAcentral. Lineage: Eukaryota; Metazoa; Chordata; Mammalia; Primates; Hominidae.